Molecule: long non-coding RNA, 2826 nt
Organism: Strongylocentrotus purpuratus (purple sea urchin)
Lineage: Eukaryota; Metazoa; Echinodermata; Echinoidea; Camarodonta; Strongylocentrotidae
Exons: 2
Source: RefSeq, a predicted model, not a curated record
ACAACAAAGAAUGGCAUAGCAAAGAUAUUACAUGAAAUCUGAACAUGACUUUAAUCAUAAUUCUUUUGUAUUGGAACAGAUCUUGCAAGACAUCUACAAUAUGAACCAUAAUAUAUUUAUCUUGGAAUUAUAUAGCUUACUCAUUAGUCAUGGAUGAAAUCUACUCUGAAAGUAAAGUACAUAUGAUCUACCGAGAGAAUGACGAAAUUGCUGGCUCUGGUGUAGGUAGAAACAACAAAAUUGUGAGAGAGAAAGAAAAAAAAAUCCCAAAUAACAUGAAUCAAGUCUAUACAUGUACGAUUAAAUUUAGUUCACAUUGAUAUACCUCAGCUGUCAAAAAGUGGACAUGGUUUAGGCCAAGCUCUUGCUACUUCUUUACCCCCAUAGAUAAACAAUCUGCUCGCAACCAAGGACGUCUUUAUUAAAUUUAGUUCACAUUGAUAUAACGGUACCUCAGCUGUCAAAAAGUGGACGUGGACAUGGUUUAGGCCAAGCUCUUACUACUUCUUUACCCCCACAGAUGAACAAUCUGCUCGCAACCAAGGACGUCUUUAUUAAAUUUAGUUCACAUUGAUAUACCUCAGCUGUCAAAAAGUGGACAAGGUUUAGGCCAAGCUCUUACUACUUCUUUACCCCCACAGAACAACAAUCUGCUCGCAACCAAGGACGUCUUUAUUAAAUUUAGUUCACAUUGAUAUACCUCAGCUGUCAAAAAGUGGACAAGGUUUAGGCCGAGCUCUUACUACUUCUUUACCCCCACAGAUGAACAAUCUGCUCGCAACCAAGGACGUCUUUAUUAAAUUUAGUUCACAUUGAUAUACCUCAGCUGUCAAAAAGUGGACAUGGUUUAGGCCAAGGUCUUACUACUUCUUUACCCCCACAGAUAAACAAUCUGCUCGCAACCAAGGACGUCUUUAUCAUUUUCAUGUUUUAGGUAACUGUAAUACAUGUAUGUCGUUUGAUCAAUUGCAUCAGGUACUUACAGUCACAUGUAUAACUUUCACAUUUUAUUUUCUUCUGAUCAGAUUCCCUCCUAUGUUAUUUUUGCUUUUAUGAAGACCAACUUCAUAUAUGAGGUUGGGGUUCCCCUUUAAGCAUCAAGAUUACACAACCUAUGUGGAAUGCAGGGAUCCCAGUAAGAAUUGAUCAGAGGGCCUGAAAAUCACCUAGAAUUAGCUAUUUUGUACACAAAAAAAGCCUUAACUGUGGUCUGAAAAUAACUUGUCAGGGCCUGAAUUCAGGCAAAGAGAAAAUAAUGAUUUAAAAAAAAUGAACAAACAUGAUAAUAUCCCUCCUUUCCUUGUGUUUCUAUAUUUAAAGGGCAAUUCAUAAUAUCUGAUUGUAUUCAAACUCUCACCUUGCUACUUGUCUGAUUUUUCUGCUUUCCUCUACAGUGGUUUGCUAUCGAGAUUGGAUUUCCCUUGUACUACUCGUAAUCAACGUUUUUCCCUUUUUUAUCCUCUCUCUCUUUCUUUUCCCUUUAACAUCAUAGCACAGAUGCAUAGUAUACACAACACCUGCAUGUCAUAUAUUUACAACUUAACCACAAAAACUGAUGGAUUAAUAUCUUAGGUCAUACAGAUGGAAUACAAAAAACACUACGGUACUCAAAAUCUUUACAUAACAUCUAUAAGUCAUCUAAUGAAGGGAGAGAACUCUUCAUGAAUAUUCAUGAAUAUUCAAAUUGUAUGAAUGAUGAUAAAUAUUCUAUUUCUUAACCAAUCUCUCCACUGAUUAAAAAGAAAACAAAAUUAUAGACAAAAUCUAAUAACAUAAUAGAGUGUAAAUAUCAUUUAAUUAAUCACCAAAAUAAAUUUGUUUAUUAAAACUUUGGCAUGGCAAUUCAUUGUCUAGCAUUACCCACCCCGAAAAGAAAGAAAAUUACAGACAAAAUAUCUAAAAUGCCCACUACUAGUGAAAUGUGUGUAGUGUAGAGUAAUGCAAAUUCUCCUUUCUAGUCUACUUCUUCUAAACGUUCUUCUUUUAAAUAUGACAUGCUUGUCUGUGCAGCGGUUAUUAAGGCAGCUACUGAACGGAUUUAGUAAUCAAGACUGAAAGAAUACAUGUACAAUAAAUCCUCUUUCCAUAAUUAUAACAAUAUGGCGGAUUCACAAAACCACCUUGCGAACCCAGCGUUAAGUCAAUUUCAUGUGAUGCAUCAUGGGAAGAAAGUCAACAAAAUAUCAGCUAUGGCAUUGUUAUAUACCCUAGGAGAUGGGGGAUUUAAUCAGUUUUUGGUGGGGCUUGAAUAGCUUAUCCAGGGUAAAAUUUUGCACCGAUUGAUAAAAUAUCAAGUCGUCCUGACCCUUCUCGCACCGUUUCAGGCAUUUAGGCCAAUUUUUGGCCAUUUAUGGUCACUUUUGGUGAAUUUAGGGGUAAAUUUCCCAAUUUUUAUUAUCAGCAAAGGAGAUUUGAUGUGCUUGUGCUAACAUGUACAAAUAUGCCCUGAUGCUAGAAAAGGUGGUCAAAUUGACCCACAUCAACAACAAUAUUAUGGUCAUUUUAGUCACCUUUGGGGCACAAAAUUACCAUUUACAUUGAUUGUUGUCCAAAAUCAGGCAAUAUUUUCAGUCAGAAUAUAUUGAUGGGUGGGUUUUGACAUCCAAAUUCAAUAUACAAAUGUGCACUGAUAUCGGGAUAAUCGGUCACAUUGAAAUUAUUACACGGUUCAAACCUCUUUGGUCGUUAUAAUCGGUGGCUAGCGUUUUGCUGUGCUGCACUGAUUGAAAGAUGUCAACUGGCAAACUAAAAAAGUUUGCCGUGGGGGCGCUGUUUAUUGUGAAUCCACCCUACCAUUGAAUAUUUAAGUCUUCCAAAAAAAAACAA